Molecule: non-coding RNA, 4152 nt
Organism: Candidatus Liptonbacteria bacterium
Lineage: Bacteria; Candidatus Liptoniibacteriota
Source: Rfam
GAUGGUCGGAAAAAGGGCGUACGGUGGAUGCCUUGACACUAAAGAGCGAUGAAGGACGCGGCGUAGCGGCGAUACGCCUCGGGGAGGUGCGUAGCAACCUAUGAUCCGGGGAUUUCCGAAUGAGGAAACUCUAUUACGUAAAACGUAAUAACUCUGGUUUAAUCCGGAGAGCGAACCCGCUGAAGUGAAACAUCUCAGUAAGCGGCGGAAAAUAAAACAACUGUGAUUCCCCAAGUAGCGGCGAGCGAAAAGGGAACUAGCCUAAACCAAUCAGUGCGCAGCACUGGGAAUAUCAAACGCCAAUAAUUCCUGUUAAAUAAAAAUUAAUUUAACAGGACAGAUGAUAUCAAAUAAUUUUUAAUUUAUUUGUAAUUUAUCUCUUGGAAUUUGGUUCUUCCACUGCUGUGCAGUGGCUGGGGUUGCAAGGUAGAUACGUUCUUUAUUUAUCGCAAAUCCUAAAGUCUUGGGAGGUGCGGUAAGUAAAGAGAAAGUUAUAAAUUCGUUUGUUAGCCAAACCGUGCUGGAAAGCCGGGCUAAAGAAGGUGAAAGCCCUGUAGGCGAAAACAAACGAACUUUUAGUAUUUAUUCUUAAGUACUUCGAUAAAAGAAAACGUCGGAGGAAUCUGCGAGAACUGUCUCGUAAGGCUAAAUAUCUUUAGUGAUCUAUAGUGUACUAGUACCGUGAGGGAAAGGUGAAAAGCAGGCCGGAAGGCCGAUGAAAUAGAACCUGAAACCGUAUGCCUACAAGGAACCGGAACGCUACCGCUGUUGCUCAGCGUCCCGCUUCAAUUUUUGAUUUCUAUUUUUUUUGGAAAUUUAAAAUUCGGAGCGCUGAGCAGCAGCGAGGCGCGACGGUGUGCCUAUUGAAGAAUGAGCCAACGAGUUUAUCUGUCUCUUUUGUCUAACCUCUACGGAGGGGAGGCACAGCGAAAGCGAGUGUUAAAAGCGCGUUUAUAAGGGGAUGGAUAAGACCCGAAGCCAGAUGAGCUUGCCCUGGACAGGAUGAACCUCGCCGAAAGGCGAGGGGAGGUCCGAACCGGUUGAUCGUUCAAAAUCUUCGGAUGAUCUGGGGUAAGGAGUGAAAAGCUAAUCGAAUCUGGUAAUAGCUGGUUCUCUCCGAAAUAGCUUUAGGGCUAGCCUCGAGUGUUUCUGAUUGGGGGUAGAGCACUGGAUGGUCUUGAUAGGGUGAAAGCUCGCGAGACCAAUCAAACUCCGAAUACCAGUUAGAUAACUCGGGAGUUAGAACGUGGGGGCUAAGCUCCAUGUUCGAAAGGGGAACAGCCCAGACCGCAGAUUAAGGCCCCUAAAUGUUUGCUAAGUGUGCCAAGGUAGUGUAACGCCAUAGACAGAUAGAAGGUGGGCUCAGAGGUAGCCAUCCUUUAAAGAGUGUGUAACAACUCACUAUUCAAUGGCGGGAUGCGCCGAGAAUGUACGGGGCUAAGCAAGCUGCCGAAAUCGCGGACUCAUGGGUUUUAUUGGGUAAUUUAUAAAGAUGAUUACAAAACUAUUUUAUAAUCAUCUCAUAGCACAUUAUUAAAAAUUAUGGCUGGCGUUUCGAACGCGCGUCGAAAACUCCUAAUAAAAUAGGAGCGGGGAGACAUCCUCCCGCCAGCCGCCAUUUUUAAAUUAAAACUUUUUUUAAAAAGUUAAUUAUCCAAUUAAACCCAUGAGUGGUAGGAGAGCAUUUCAUGCGCGCUGAAGGCGGACCCGCGAGGGCUGCUGGAGUGCAUGGAAGAGAGAAUGUUGGCAUGAGUAACCACAAAGCUGAUGAGAAAUCAGCUCCCUGAAAAUUCAAGGUUUCCGUGGCACUGGCAAUCAACCACGGGUUAGGCGGGCCUAAGGCGAUGGCGAAAGCCGCAGCUGAUGGACAGCCGGUUAAUAUUCCGGCCCUCCCGCUUUUUUCUAAAGGAGUGACGAAAAGGAGUAGGUCAAGCAUCUUAAUGGUUUGGUGUUUUUUACCGAGGGUGGUGGAAGAUAAAUCUUUUCACCUGCUUUUAAUGGCGAACUUUAGGGAAAAGACGAGUCUUGGCUUUGGCCUGGAUUAGUUGACUAAUUACUUUUCCGAGAAAAACUUCUAGGGUUAAGGAAGCGGGAUCCGUACCGGAAACCGACACAGGUGGAUAGGGCGAGAAGCCCAAAGGGAACGAGUGAAUUCUCGUUAAGGAACUCGGCAAAAAAGCGGCCGUAAGUUAGCAAUAAGGCCUCCCUGAUGAUGGCGCCGCAAGGCGUUAUCAAAAGGGCGCAGCGAAAGUAUCUCUAGCGACUGUUUACCAAAGACACAGCUCCCUGCGAACUCGUAAGAGGAUGUAUAGGGGGUGACGCCUGACCGAUGCGAGAAGGUUAACGGUGGCGGUGUCCAGCACUAAAUUUUUAAAAUUUUUGAAAAUUUAGUGCUGGAUGCUAACUGCCCGAAGCCCUCGUCAAUGUCAGCGAUAACUAUAAUCGUUCUAAGGUAGCGCAAUUCCUUUCCGGGUAAGUUCCGGAGCGCAUGAAAGGCGUAACGACUGGAGAACUGUCUCAACGAGAAGCUCGGUGAAAAUGCGAUUCCCGUGAAGACGCGGGAUACCUGCAGCGGGACGAAAAGACCCCGGGAGCUUUACUGUAGCUUGAUAUUGGGCUUAAAUUGUUGUUGCGUAGAAUAGGCGGGAGGCUUUGAAGUUUCAACUCCGGUUGAGAUGGAGCCGCCAGUGCAAUACCGCCCUUUAAUGGUUUAAGUUCUAACUCAUUAGAAAUCCUUUUAGGUAAGUCUAAUGAAGACAGUGUCUGGUGGGCAGUUUUUCUGGGGCGGAAUCCUCCUAAAGAGUAACGGAGGAGUUUAUUAAGGUCGGCUAGAGUCGGAUGGAAAUCGACUCGAUUGUGUAAAGGCAGAAGCCGGCUUAACUGCAAGACCUACAAGUCAAGCAGAUGCGAAAGCAGAACUUAGUGACCCGACGAACCUUUACAGGAAGGUCGGAGACAACGGAUAAAAGCUACCCCGGGGAUAACAGGCUGGUGUUGCCCGAGAGUCCAUAUCGACGGCAACGCUCGGCACCUCGAUGUCGGCUCAUCACAGCGCGGGGCUGGAGAAGGUCCCAAGCGUUUGGCUGUUCGCCAAUUAAAGUGGUACGCGAGCUGGGUUCAGACCGUCAAAAAAAAGAACCCUUAACGAUAAUCGAACACGGCGGCCUUAUGCCGUAAGGCAUAUUGCAAAACUGACUCAUAUCGGUGAAACCCUAAUAAUAUAAAUUAGAAUUUAACCUGUCAUAUGUUAGGAUAAUACCGAGGGAAGUUUUGUAUGAAAAAUAAAAUUCAAAAAGCAUAUAUUGCAGGAUUUCUUGACGGCGAUGGGAGUAUUUACGUUAGGUUGAAACCUAAUUCUACUUAUAAGUAUGGAUUUCAAGUUGCGCCCUAUGUUGUAUUAUUUCAAUCGCAAAAAAGUCAAAAAGAUUUUGAGAAAAUUUGCUCACUUAUCGGCUUAGGAUAUUUAAGAAUUCGUAAAGAUGGAAUCCUUGAAUAUAUUAUUAGUCGAAAAAAAGCAAUUUAUAGUUUUCUUAAAAUAGUUAAACCAUUUGUGAUUUUAAAAAAAGAACAAAUUAAUUUAACAUUAAAAAUCCUGAAUAAAAAAGAAAGCGUUAAAAAUAAAAACGACUUUCAAAAAAUUAUGAAUCUAAUUGAUCGUUUUAGAAAAUUAAAUUAUUCAAAAAAACGAAAAAAACAUACAAUAACCCCGUAGAGACUUGAUUAUUUUACUAAUCAGAGUCCGCGAUUUUUCGCGGGCUAACACGUCAGUCAUCCUAAAUUUAGGAUGAUGGUAUAGUCCACACUGUUAGUAAUAGCAGAUAAUGCAAUUCUAGUUACUUUUUUGUUACUAGUUUUUUAAUUUGCGUGAGACAGGUUGGUCUCUAUCUGCUGCAGGCGAUAAGCACUUGAAGGAAGUUGACCCUAGUACGAGAGGACCGGGUUGAACGAACCUCUGGUCUACCGGCUUUGCCACCAGGUGAAUUGCCGGGUAGCUAUGUUCGGAAAGGAUAAGCGCUGAAAGCAUCUAAGCGCGAAGCCUCUCCUAAGAUUAAGUGCAUGACCUCGUAGAAGACUACUACGUUAAUAGGCUCUAGGUGUAAGGCUCGUAAGAGUUUUAGCCAAGGAGUACUAAUGGUCUAUUCCGGCCAUCUC